This is a small nucleolar RNA of Magnolia sinica, 87 nucleotides long. RefSeq annotates it as small nucleolar RNA R44/J54/Z268 family. The transcript has a single exon. Lineage: Eukaryota; Viridiplantae; Streptophyta; Magnoliopsida; Magnoliales; Magnoliaceae. The record is from RefSeq and is a predicted model, not a curated record.
ACUGCAAGUGAUGAUAAACCAGACAGGGACAUCAACACUCCCCUCCGGAGGAUGAUGACUUGGUCUUGGGAAUCUCUCUGAUGCAAU